Molecule: long non-coding RNA, 354 nt
Filed under: Panax ginseng (ginseng)
Lineage: Eukaryota; Viridiplantae; Streptophyta; Magnoliopsida; Apiales; Araliaceae
Description: long non-coding RNA (PGIN_LNC017975)
Source: RNAcentral
UCGUAGCUAGUGCAAAGAUGGACUGUUGAUUUACCUGAUUAUAAAUAUGAAUUGUGAAUUUAACUAUAAUCUUUGGUGGUUCAGGUGAAGACAGGUUAUGAAAGUUCUAUUUGUCUUGGGUACAACAAAUAACUUUUGAUGGGUAUUAUAGGGAUGAAAUAUUAAUGAUAGAAUUUUAAUUUGAAGGAGAUAGUAGACAUUAUGUUCUACUUGACUCUUCUAAUGGAUUGUUGUUUCCGCUGCUAUUAUGGUUGAAAACUUUUAUCAUCUACCAAAUGUCCUCAAUCUCUGAUUUAUUAUUGAUGAAGACUAUUGAUAAAUUAAUUAUCUUAGUCAUAAUAUUCUUUAUUGGGC